RNAcentral lists this unclassified non-coding RNA (231 nucleotides) under Cryptococcus sp. (in: basidiomycete fungi). RNAcentral describes it as "Cryptococcus sp. (in: Fungi) partial internal transcribed spacer region". The stretch from base 1 to 46 matches the Rfam family "Eukaryotic small subunit ribosomal RNA", at positions 1786 to 1831 of the family's 1831-position model. The record is from RNAcentral. Lineage: Eukaryota; Fungi; Basidiomycota; Tremellomycetes; Tremellales; Cryptococcaceae.
AAGUCGUAACAAGGUUUCCGUAGGUGAACCUGCGGAAGGAUCAUUAUUGAAUUGUUUGUUUGAAUUGGCUUAAAACCCCAAUUCAGCAAUACAUAUCCAUAACACCUGUGCACUGUUGGAUGAGCAAACUCGCAAGAGCAAGCAAGUUCACUUUUACACCAAACAAUUUGUAACAAAUGUAGUCUUAUUAUAACAAUAAUAAAACUUUCAACAACGGAUCUCUUGGUUCUC